Molecule: ribosomal RNA, 118 nt
Filed under: Pteropus alecto (black flying fox)
Lineage: Eukaryota; Metazoa; Chordata; Mammalia; Chiroptera; Pteropodidae
Also listed under: 1 other name
Source: RNAcentral
CUCUACAGCCAUGCAACCCUGGAUAAGCCUCUGACUUCUGAUCUCAGAAGCUAAGCAGGGUCGAGUCUGGUUAAUACUUGGAUGGGAGACCACCUAGGAAGACCAGGUACUAUAGGCA